UCAAAACCUCGGGGCUGGGUGAAAUUCCCAACCGGCGGUGAUACGCAUACGGCUAAUUGGCCGCUGGCGUUUAGUCCGUGACCCGACCGCAGGAAAGGGCAGCGUUCGUUUGCUGCAUGCGGGCGGUGGACCCGGUGCAAAUCCGGGACCGACAGUAUAGUCUGGAUGGGAGAGGGAGACG
Molecule: non-coding RNA, 181 nt
Filed under: Paenibacillus sp.
Lineage: Bacteria; Bacillati; Bacillota; Bacilli; Caryophanales; Paenibacillaceae
Description: FMN sequence
Rfam family: FMN riboswitch aptamer (RFN element)
About the family: The RFN element is a highly conserved domain that is found frequently in the 5'-untranslated regions of prokaryotic mRNAs that encode for flavin mononucleotide (FMN) biosynthesis and transport proteins. This element is a metabolite-dependent riboswitch that directly binds FMN in the absence of proteins.
Source: RNAcentral